RNAcentral lists this ribosomal RNA (277 nucleotides) under uncultured eukaryote. RNAcentral describes it as "partial 18S ribosomal RNA". It matches the Rfam family "Eukaryotic small subunit ribosomal RNA", at positions 21 to 295 of the family's 1831-position model. The record is from RNAcentral.
UAGUCAUAUGCUUGUCUCAAAGAUUAAGCCAUGCAUGUCUAAGUAUAAGCAUUUAUACUGUGAAACUGCGAAUGGCUCAUUAAAUCAGUUAUAGUUUAUUUGAUGGUACAUUACUACUUGGAUAACCGUGGUAAUUCUAGAGCUAAUACAUGCGCAAAGGGCCGACUCUCGCGGGAGGCCUGUAUUUAUUAGAUACAAAACCAACGGGCGGCGACGCUCAGUUCCUGGUGAUUCAUAAUAACUGCACGAAUCGCACGGCCGUGCGCCGGCGAUGCUU